This 473-nucleotide long non-coding RNA is filed under the name Mytilus galloprovincialis (Mediterranean mussel). The record is from RNAcentral. Lineage: Eukaryota; Metazoa; Mollusca; Bivalvia; Mytilida; Mytilidae.
GCAGAUAGAUCUUGACCUGAUAAACAUUUUUACCCCAUGUCAGAUUUGCUCUAAAUGCUUUGGUUUUUGAGUUAUAAGCCAAAAACUGCAUUUUACCCCUAUGUUCUAUUUUUAGCCGUGGCGGCCAUCUUGGUUGGUUGACCGGGUCAAGCCACACAUUUUUAAAACUAGAUACCCCAAUGAUGAUUGUGGCCAAGUUUGGUUUGAUUUGGCCCAGUAGUUUCAGAGGAGAAGAUUUUUGUAAAAGUUAACGACGACGGACGACGACGGACGACGGACGACGACGGACGCCGGACGCAAAGUGAUGGGAAUAGCUCACUUGGCCCUUCGGGCCAGGUGAGCUAAUAAAAAGGUAAAUCAGAAGAGGGAUAUUUCAUUCCAUUUAGAGGUGACGCAACAUGGAAAAACCAUGUUGAAAAUAUAUUAAAUAGUGUUAAAAAGCAUCGAAGUGAACUGCGAAAACUCAAACAUUA